GACGAACGCGGCGGCGUGCCUAAUACAUGCAAGUAGAACGCUGAAGGAGGAGCUUGCUUCUCUGGAUGAGUUGCGAACGGGUGAGUAACGCGUAGGUAACCUGCCUGGUAGCGGGGGAUAACUAUUGGAAACGAUAGCUAAUACCGCAUAAUAGUAGAUGUUGCAUGACAUUUACUUAAAAGGUGCAAUUGCAUCACUACCAGAUGGACCUGCGUUGUAUUAGCUAGUUGGUGGGGUAACGGCUCACCAAGGCGACGAUACAUAGCCGACCUGAGAGGGUGAUCGGCCACACUGGGACUGAGACACGGCCCAGACUCCUACGGGAGGCAGCAGUAGGGAAUCUUCGGCAAUGGACGGAAGUCUGACCGAGCAACGCCGCGUGAGUGAAGAAGGUUUUCGGAUCGUAAAGCUCUGUUGUAAGAGAAGAACGAGUGUGAGAAGUGGAAAAGUUCACCACUGUGACGG
RNAcentral lists this ribosomal RNA (465 nucleotides) under Streptococcus mitis. RNAcentral's name for it is "bacterial SSU rRNA". It matches the Rfam family "Bacterial small subunit ribosomal RNA", at positions 28 to 475 of the family's 1533-position model. Lineage: Bacteria; Bacillati; Bacillota; Bacilli; Lactobacillales; Streptococcaceae. The record is from RNAcentral.